This 231-nucleotide long non-coding RNA is filed under the name Elaeis guineensis (African oil palm). Its description in RNAcentral is "long non-coding RNA (EGUI_LNC049455)". The record is from RNAcentral. Lineage: Eukaryota; Viridiplantae; Streptophyta; Magnoliopsida; Arecales; Arecaceae.
CCUUGACACAUUCAUUUUUGAUUUUACAAAAUAUUCUAAUUUCUUCUCUUUUAAUUUUUGUUCAAAUGGUGUCAUUCUUGCUUUAAGAUCAAAACAAAAUAAAGAGAAAGAAACAUUCUUUCACAUUUAUUGCUCUAAUAACUAAAAACAAGCAAGAAAAGAAUAAAAAAUUUUUAUGAAUCAUCUGUGCUUUAAUAAAUUUUUUUUUUUAAAUUGAACACUCUUUAUAUA